GGAAUCGCUAGUAAUCGCAGAUCAGAAUGCUGCGGUGAAUACGUUCCCGGGUCUUGUACACACCGCCCGUCACACCAUGGGAGUUGGGAAUGCCCGAAGCCGGUGGCCUAACCGCAAGGGAGGAGCUGUCGAAGGCAGGCCCGAUAACUGGGGUGAAGUCGUAACAAGGUAUC
This 173-nucleotide ribosomal RNA is filed under the name uncultured bacterium. Its description in RNAcentral is "partial 16S ribosomal RNA". It matches the Rfam family "Bacterial small subunit ribosomal RNA", at positions 1328 to 1500 of the family's 1533-position model. The record is from RNAcentral.